Molecule: ribosomal RNA, 253 nt
Filed under: uncultured bacterium
Lineage: Bacteria
Description: partial 16S ribosomal RNA
Rfam family: Bacterial small subunit ribosomal RNA
Source: RNAcentral
UACGGAGGGAGCUAGCGUUGUUCGGAAUUACUGGGCGUAAAGCGCACGUAGGCGGCUUUGUAAGUUAGAGGUGAAAGCCCGGGGCUCAACUCCGGAACUGCCUUUAAGACUGCAUCGCUUGAAUCCAGGAGAGGUGAGUGGAAUUCCGAGUGUAGAGGUGAAAUUCGUAGAUAUUCGGAAGAACACCAGUGGCGAAGGCGGCUCACUGGCCCGGUACUGACGCUGAGAUACGAAAGCGUGGGGAGCAAACAGG